This 311-nucleotide ribosomal RNA is filed under the name Salmonella enterica subsp. enterica serovar Enteritidis. RNAcentral's name for it is "partial 23S ribosomal RNA". It matches the Rfam family "Bacterial large subunit ribosomal RNA", at positions 346 to 657 of the family's 2925-position model. The record is from RNAcentral. Lineage: Bacteria; Pseudomonadati; Pseudomonadota; Gammaproteobacteria; Enterobacterales; Enterobacteriaceae.
AAAGGCGCGCGAUACAGGGUGACAGCCCCGUACACAAAAGCGCAUGUGCUGUGAGCUCGAUGAGUAGGGCGGGACACGUGGUAUCCUGUCUGAAUAUGGGGGGACCAUCCUCCAAGGCUAAAUACUCCUGACUGACCGAUAGUGAACCAGUACCGUGAGGGAAAGGCGAAAAGAACCCCGGCGAGGGGAGUGAAAAAGAACCUGAAACCGUGUACGUACAAGCAGUGGGAGCACAGGUUUACCUGUGUGACUGCGUACCUUUUGUAUAAUGGGUCAGCGACUUAUAUUCUGUAGCAAGGUUAACCGAAUAG